Molecule: long non-coding RNA, 1066 nt
Organism: Dunckerocampus dactyliophorus (ringed pipefish)
Lineage: Eukaryota; Metazoa; Chordata; Actinopteri; Syngnathiformes; Syngnathidae
Exons: 3
Source: RefSeq, a predicted model, not a curated record
UGUUUUCCUGUCAUAGCUAUUAGACAACUUUGGCUUCUUGCCAUAUUUGCUAUGAAGUGUGAACCAAAGUGGCCAGGAUGAAGAGCUUCAUGCUUCAUGUAGUGCACACUUCAGCUAGAAGGAUUACAUUCCUACGCGCCCAAGACAGAAGAGUAAACAGGUUUUGAAGAGUUCUGCUGUUCCAGCACCCCAGCUGUGGGCCCAGCUUCAGCACUUCUCUGUCCCUCUUCUCUCUCUCUGCACGUUCAAACUCCAUCUGACGAAGUUUGGCAUCAGUGUAUUCCUGGUCAUAGAGUAAACACUGUGAAGCAGCUGAUGGAAAUGUGCCCCACAGUUGACAGCUGGUGGAAGCGCGCAGGAGAAAAUAACACUGAGCGAUUGUGAGGUCUGACUUUUUUGUGGGAAACUGUUUUGUGAUGGAAAUGAACGAAUAUUGUUUUUGAGAAGCAAAAGCUUUACGAAAGUGAUUCUAGCCGGAAAUACUUUCCUCAACAGCGAAACCGACCAGAAUUCGUCUCACGGGACAAAGUGGAGGAGAAGUCACUGAUGAUGCACAACACAGCUGAUGGGGACGUCAUACAAUUUCAUGUCAAAUAAUCCAUACUAUCCCUUUAACAGUGGUGUCAGUAGGCCUAUUUUAGAGGGACUUUCCUAAAAUAUUCUUAAGCCCCCUUAAAUAAUUUGUUAUUUGUUGUUUUAUUUGAAAAAAGUACAAAAUUAAAUGUGCUGACAAAUUCAAUAUAAAGUGGCCAGAAUAUGAGUUUGAAUCAAUAAUGAUGUGUCAUAAUUCACUUAAAAUAUUAAUAAUUAUAGAAAUAUAAGAAACGGAGCAAUUUCUUUUCUGUGUCUGAUGCAAUCCAAUUGUCUUCGAUUUACAUGUACAGUGGGGGUCAAAUGGCUUCGAUGCACUUUUUCAUGCGAUUGAAUGGGACAUUGUAUGCAAACCUUUAGUAGGGACUCUAUUUGAUUAUAAAAGAUUUAAAAAUCACAAAGGCCGCAAUGCAUUGCAUCAGUUGGGUCAUUUGAUUACUGUGAUGCAGGUGCUAUGAAGUUUCUUUGAAUUAAA